Molecule: non-coding RNA, 154 nt
Filed under: Fictibacillus enclensis
Lineage: Bacteria; Bacillati; Bacillota; Bacilli; Caryophanales; Fictibacillaceae
Description: SAM-I sequence
Rfam family: SAM riboswitch aptamer (S box leader)
About the family: The SAM riboswitch is found upstream of a number of genes which code for proteins involved in methionine or cysteine biosynthesis in Gram-positive bacteria. The SAM riboswitch acts at the level of transcription termination control.
Source: Rfam by way of RNAcentral
CUCUUAUCAAGAGCAGGUGGAGGGAAUUUGGCCCGAUGAAACCCAGCAACCGACCGUAAUACCAUUGUGAAAUGGGGCGUCUUUAUUUGAAGCCUGGACUUCCAGUAUGGCACGGUGCUAAUUCCAGCAAAGCUUAAGCUUUGCAAGAUAAGAG